UAGGGAAUCUUCGGCAAUGGACGAAAAGUCUGACCGAGCAACGCCGCGUGAGUGAAGAAGGUUUUCGGAUCGUAAAACUCUGUUGGUAGAGAAGAACGUUGGUGAGAGUGGAAAGCUCAUCAAGUGACGGUAACUACCCAGAAAGGGACGGCUAACUACGUGCCAG
This 166-nucleotide ribosomal RNA is filed under the name uncultured bacterium. RNAcentral's name for it is "partial 16S ribosomal RNA". It matches the Rfam family "Bacterial small subunit ribosomal RNA", at positions 355 to 511 of the family's 1533-position model. The record is from RNAcentral.